Molecule: ribosomal RNA, 484 nt
Filed under: uncultured bacterium
Lineage: Bacteria
Description: partial 16S ribosomal RNA
Rfam family: Bacterial small subunit ribosomal RNA
Source: RNAcentral
AUUGAACGCUGGCGGCAUGCUUUACACAUGCAAGUCGAACGGCAGCGCGGGCUUCGGCCUGGAGGCGAGUGGCGAACGGGUGAGUAAUACAUCGGAACGUGCCCAGUAGUGGGGGAUAGCUCGGCGAAAGCCGGAUUAAUACCGCAUACGACCUGAGGGUGAAAGCGGGGGAUCUUCGGACCUCGCGCUAUUGGAGCGGCCGAUGGCAGAUUAGCUAGUUGGUGGGGUAAAGGCCUACCAAGGCGACGAUCUGUAGCUGGUCUGAGAGGACGACCAGCCACACUGGGACUGCGACACGGCCCAGACUCCUACGGGAGGCAGCAGUGGGGAAUUUUGGACAAUGGGCGAAAGCCUGAUCCAGCAAUGCCGCGUGUGUGAUGAAGGCCUUCGGGUUGUAAAGCACUUUUGGCGGGAACGAAAAGGACUGUGCCAAUACCACGGUUCGAUGACGGUACCCGCAGAAUAAGCACCGGCUAACUACGUG